This 705-nucleotide ribosomal RNA is filed under the name Proteus mirabilis. RNAcentral describes it as "partial 23S ribosomal RNA". It matches the Rfam family "Bacterial large subunit ribosomal RNA", at positions 505 to 1211 of the family's 2925-position model. The record is from RNAcentral. Lineage: Bacteria; Pseudomonadati; Pseudomonadota; Gammaproteobacteria; Enterobacterales; Morganellaceae.
GAGGGAAAGGCGAAAAGAACCCCGGCGAGGGGAGUGAAAAAGAACCUGAAACCGUGUACGUACAAGCAGUAGGAGCCUCUUUAUGGGGUGACUGCGUACCUUUUGUAUAAUGGGUCAGCGACUUAUAUUCUGUAGCAAGGUUAACCGCAUAGGGGAGCCGUAGGGAAACCGAGUCUUAACUGGGCGAAUGAGUUGCAGGGUAUAGACCCGAAACCCGGUGAUCUAUCCAUGGGCAGGUUGAAGGUUGGGUAACACUAACUGGAGGACCGAACCGACUAAUGUUGAAAAAUUAGCGGAUGACUUGUGGAUGGGGGUGAAAGGCCAAUCAAACCGGGAGAUAGCUGGUUCUCCCCGAAAGCUAUUUAGGUAGCGCCUCGUGAACUCAUCUUCGGGGGUAGAGCACUGUUUCGACUAGGGGGUCAUCCCGACUUACCAACUCGAUGCAAACUGCGAAUACCGAAGAAUGUUAUCACGGGAGACACACGGCGGGUGCUAACGUCCGUCGUGAAGAGGGAAACAACCCAGACCGCCAGCUAAGGUCCCAAAGUCAUGGUUAAGUGGGAAACGAAGUGGGAAGGCUCAGACAGCCAGGAUGUUGGCUUAGAAGCAGCCAUCAUUUAAAGAAAGCGUAAUAGCUCACUGGUCGAGUCGGCCCGCGCGGAAGAUGUAACGGGGCUAAACCAUGCACCGAAGCUGCGGCAGCGA